Molecule: transfer RNA, 72 nt
Filed under: Haemonchus contortus (barber pole worm)
Lineage: Eukaryota; Metazoa; Nematoda; Chromadorea; Rhabditida; Trichostrongylidae
Description: tRNA, Pseudo
Source: RNAcentral
UUCCCCAACCAGGGAUUGAACCCACACUCCCUGCAUUGGAAGGCAGAGUGUUAACCGCUGGACCACCAGGGA